RNAcentral lists this long non-coding RNA (1483 nucleotides) under Sinocyclocheilus grahami. RNAcentral's name for it is "lncRNA (ENSSGRG00000030854.1)". Lineage: Eukaryota; Metazoa; Chordata; Actinopteri; Cypriniformes; Cyprinidae. The record is from RNAcentral.
AUGACAUACAUUUCUCUGUUUUUAAGUAUAUGUUUAUAAAUUUCUAUUUUGCCAUCUUUCCAUGAAUUGUAUUAGUGAUUAUUAAGAAAAUACAUCUUUUGUAUGUAUUCAGAGGGGGUGUGCUCAUUUAUGCUGUGCACUGUACAUAUUCCUUUCAACUGCUGCAAACUUUAAACUGUUCUUAUCAUCCUUUCAGCCAAGAAUGACUCAGACACAGAGGUGAAUUCAAGGUAAGACUGCUGGAUGUUGUUCAUUUUAUUCAUUGUUCUCUGCGAUGAGCUGGCGAUUUAGUUUUAUCACAUGGUACAUGACUGGAGCAUUUCAACAGCCUCAUCAAAUCACAUGCUUUCUUUUACCAUUUUCUUUAUAAGGACUAUCCACUAAACAUUCUUUUAGUUUACUUUUGCAUGUACGUUGGCAAAGUUUUUUGGUAAAUCCAGGCUAUAAGCAUGAAUUAUGAACAGGAAAUAUAAAAAAAUAGAAAGUACACCACUCUUUCAGUUUGGGAGACCUCAUUGUUUCCUGUCAUGUCUUUGGCAUGCAGUGGCCUGAAGGAAAACGAUGGUGACUCAGAUAUGAGCAGUGAUGAAGCUGACAGCCCCAGCAGGUAUGAGGGGGCGGAGUUUAAGAGUUCUCUGAGAAACUUUGAACUGUCUGAAAGCAAAAGGACACGCCUCCGAGAACUUGAGGUGAAGGUGAUGAAUUUCCAGGAUGAGUUGGAAUCGAGUAAGAGACAGAGGAAGUCCAGUAUGACUCUCCAACAGCAAGUUCAACACUACAGAAACAGACUGCUACAGAAGGAGUUUGACAAGGACGACCAGGAAAAGAAAGACAAAUAUUCACAAAAACAGAAAGACCGGUCCAAAAAAGACGAGCGGAGAGAUAAAGGGGAGGACAGGAGUAAAACAAGGGAUAAAGAAAAAAGUAGAAAGAGUGAGGACCGAGAAAGGAGUAGAGGAAGGAGUCGAGACAAAGAAGAGAGGAGAGAGAGGUAUGCACUCAUCUCUCUCUCUCACACACACACACACACACACACACACAGAGUUUAUUACAUUCCAUUAUCAUUCAAAAACAAUUAUUCACAAUACCUUGACCCAGCACAAUGCAUCAAGUUUUCAGCGACAAGUAAUUUUGUCCCCUUGGAAUUAUAAGGUUCUAUCUGACAUUUUUGUCAAAAUUAAGUUAUUCACAUAUUCUUAUUCUGUGACAACUUGUAUACAUAAUGUGAUAGAUUUUUUAAUGUUGUGUAAUUUUAGGCCUUUUUAUUUAAAAAAACAAAAAGGUUCUAUCUACACAGUCGAACUUUGAAGCUCAAUAUCUCAAAAUUACUCGGAAUGCAGAUAGAACAUUAUAAUACCAAGGGGACGAUUUGUCUAUUCACACUAAAAUCAAACAACACUUACAGCCAAUCAGAGCAGAGACUACCGUUCAAAUGUUUGGGGUUGGUAAGAUUUUUUUGAAAUGUUUUUAAAAAACCCACAUC